RNAcentral lists this ribosomal RNA (1409 nucleotides) under Christiangramia oceani. RNAcentral describes it as "bacterial SSU rRNA". The record is from RNAcentral. Lineage: Bacteria; Pseudomonadati; Bacteroidota; Flavobacteriia; Flavobacteriales; Flavobacteriaceae.
GCAGGCCUAACACAUGCAAGUCGAACGGUAACAUGGAAAAGCUYGCUUKUCCGCUGACGAGUGGCGCACGSGUGCGUAACGCGUAUACAAUCUACCUUCAAGCGGGGGAUAGCCCAUGGAMACGUGGAUUAAUACCCCAUGGUAUKAUAGAUUCACCWGGAUUUAUAAUUAMACAUUUAUGGUUUGAAGAUGAGUMUGCGUCCUAUKAGCUAGAUGGAGUGGUAACGGCACCCCAUGGCAACGAUAGGUAGGGGUCCUGAGAGGGAGAUCCCCCACACUGGUACUGAGACACGGACCAGACUCCUACGGGAGGCAGCAGUGAGGAAUAUUGGACAAUGGAGGCAACUCUGAUCCAGCCAUGCCGCGUGCAGGAAGACUGCCCUAUGGGUUGUAAACUGCUUUUAUACGGGAAGAACCACACCUACGUGUAGGUGCUUGACGGUACCGUAUGAAUAAGGAUCGGCUAACUCCGUGCCAGCAGCCGCGGUAAUACGGAGGAUCCAAGCGUUAUCCGGAAUCAUUGGGUUUAAAGGGUCCGUAGGCGGGACAAAUAAGUCAGUGGUGAAAGUCUGCCGCUUAACGGUAGAAUUGCCAUUGAUACUGUUGUUCUUGAAUUAGUAUGAAGUGGUUGGAAUGAGUAGUGUAGCGGUGAAAUGCAUAGAUAUUACUCAGAACACCUAUUGCGAAGGCAGAUCACUAAUACUAUAUUGACGMUSAUGGACGAWAGCGUAGGUMGCGAACAGGAUUAGAUACCYKGGUAGUCUACGCCGUAAACRAUGGUCACUAGCUGUCCGGCCUAAUUGAGGGCUGGGUGGUUAAGCGAAAGUGAUAAGUGACCCACCUGGGGAGUACGUUCGCAAGAAUGAAACUCAAAGGAAUUGACGGGGGCCCGCACMAGCGGUGGAGCAUGUGGUUUAAUUCGMUGAUACGCGAGGAACCUUACCAGGGCUUAAAUGCAGUGGGACAGGUCUGGAAACAGACCCUUCUUCGGACUCAUUGCAAGGUGCUGCAUGGUUGUCGUCAGCUCGUGCCGUGAGGUGUCAGGUUAAGUCCUAUAACGAGCGCAACCCCUGUGGUUAGUUGCCAGCACGUAAAGGUGGGAACUCUAGCCAGACUGCCGGUGCAAACCGCGAGGAAGGUGGGGAUGACGUCAAAUCAUCACGGCCCUUACGUCCUGGGCCACACACGUGCUACAAUGGUAGGGACAGAGGGCAGCUACCCCGCGAGGGGAUGCGAAUCUUCAAACCCUAUCACAGUUCGGAUCGCAGUCUGCAACUCGACUGCGUGAAGCUGGAAUCGCUAGUAAUCGCACAUCAGCCAUGGUGCGGUGAAUACGUUCCCGGGCCUUGUACACACCGCCCGUCAAGCCAUGGAAGCCGGGGGUACCUGAAGUCGGUCACCGCAUGGAG